UGGCGGCGUGCUUAACACAUGCAAGUCGAACGGGAAGCGGUGCUUAUCACUUCGGUGGAAUAGGGGCGUGGAGAGUGGCGAACGGGUGCGUAACACGUAGGUAACCUGCCCUGAAAUGGGGGAUAACCACGGGAAACUGUGGCUAAUACCGCAUAAUCUCGCCGGGACGGUGGUUCUGGUGAGGAAAGCUUAGGCGAUUUGGGAGGGGCCUGCGGUCGAUUAGCUGGUUGGUGGGGUAAAGGCCUACCAAGGCGAUGAUCGAUAGCUGUUCUGAGAGGAAGACCAGCCACACGGGAACUGAGACACGGUUCCGACUCCUACAGAAGGCACCACUGAGGAAUAUUGCGCAAUGGGGGCAACCCUGACGCAGCAGCGGCCGCGUGGGAGGACGAAGGUUUUCGGAUUGUAAACUCCUUAUCUGGGGGAAGAGGAAGGACGGUACCCCAGGACGAAGACACGGCUAACUAGGU
RNAcentral lists this ribosomal RNA (470 nucleotides) under uncultured bacterium. Its description in RNAcentral is "bacterial SSU rRNA". It matches the Rfam family "Bacterial small subunit ribosomal RNA", at positions 37 to 506 of the family's 1533-position model. The record is from RNAcentral.